Molecule: non-coding RNA, 3093 nt
Organism: Dermacentor andersoni
Lineage: Eukaryota; Metazoa; Arthropoda; Arachnida; Ixodida; Ixodidae
Source: RefSeq, a predicted model, not a curated record
UAAGUUAGCAAUUCACUAAACUUAGGACAGAGUGGUUUGGUGCCUUCGCAGCAUUUGCAUUGGCAACGUUGUACAUCAGUAUCGAGGGAAAGAGCGUAGUAGGGGAGAGAGUUGAAAGUUGCCCCGUUGAUCAGCGCCGCUCGGAUUGUUGUGGUCGCGUGCGCUAUGUGUUGCUGUAACAUGUUCCCGUCGAAAGUGGAUCUAUUUUAAUAUUUCUUGCCUGAAGCGAAGCCUCUGGCGGUAUUGCCAUCAGCCAUAGCGCGGACCCCCGAAAGUGCUUCAGCUUCGUUACGGUGCCGAAGAACGUCACGUCAAGCAAAGCGCCGCGCGAGCGCUACGAAGACAAGUGUCCACUACCACGACCUCCACUACGAUACAAACCACUCUGAAGUGUUAAACCCGCUGUCAUUUGUUGGCAAGUUUGUGGUAAGGUGACAACCUUUUGAAUGUUGCAGCUUGCGUCGUUGAUUACCGAGCAACUGCCACAAGUCAAGUCAAAAGCAGGGACAGCAUUUCAGUCACUCUAGAGGAUGGUGUCAGUGUCUGGAAGUGCGUUCAGUGUGACUUCGUGUUGCACUCUGAGGCUUUGUUAGUGGAGCAUGAGCAGCUGCAGCAUCCAGGGCUUGGCCUUUCACAGUAUGCGUGCCGUUUCUGCCCAGCUGCGUUUCACCACAAUAACUGCUAGCUGUUGCCACCUCCAGAAACACACCGGUCGUGGAACCUUCACUGCUUCUUGUGCGCUGGGUGCUUUGCGAGUGAGCAGAACCUUGUACGCCAUGUCAAGACGGUGCACAAUGACGAUGCUGACGGAUUACGCUGCUAUCUCUGCCUUGGGAGGUUCUCCCGCAAGGACGCCCUGAAGGUGCCCAUCUGCAAGCACUGGAGCAACACUGCCAAAGCUAACUUGUGAUGCUUCAAGCAGGGUUUCUGUGAAGUGUGUGAUCAGUGGUGCUGGCAUUGUUGCGAGUGGCAUUUGUGUUGGUGCCCUGUGUGCUACAGUGUGGUGAAGGUGACGUGCAGCUGUGUAGAGCCUUCCGGGGCCAGGUUUGUUUGUUUGAGCACAUCGUUGGAGGACACCAGCCUUGCUUGUCCCUGUCCCAGCACAUCCGACGAGGGCUGCGGGCACUGACACUACAGAUGGCGCUUCCCCAAGUGCCCCACGGAUUAUGUACUACCAUCUACCCGAGGCACGACAAAACCGCUGAGACGGAACCAGCUUGUCCAUGGCAUUGCUUGAAAAUGAAAAUUGUUGUCGACCAGCUAUGCUUGUUCUUGGCCAUUUUGCCAGAAACGUGUGGACAAACCCAGCUCGCCCAUGGCAUGGAAGGGGUUGAACUGCCUGCGGUCAGCCUAGUGGUCACAAGCAACAUAGCUUGUAUGCUUUUGACGAAGAGAACAUGCGAAAACAGUGAGAGUGCAACCUUCUUUACACUUUUGUGAUUAAACAGUAGGAGCAGAAAAACUUGUUUACAAACAUAUAAACAGACAAUCACCUUUACAUCUUUUCAGUGCAUGCUUCAGUGGAUUUUGUUGCUCGUUCAUGUUCAUUUUCUUUAAUGUUCAUGCUUUCCCUUGCAGAAUGGGCUGCCACAUUUGUGCCUAGAAGGCCACCAAGAUUGUGCAAGGAAGAUAUGAUUGCGUGCACCUUAGCAAUGUUUCAUCUGUGACUUUCCUUGUCACUCCUGUAUUUUUUUUUUCUUUUUGCUCUUCAAGAGUGUCAGAUGCCCUUGGACGUUUGUGUUUGGUUGCACCUGUAGCAUGUGAUCUGUCUAUUUCCAAGCCAAACAUGCAUUGGUGCAGUCCCGCUUAUUAUUGCAUGUUGUAAAAAUUCUGCACUAAUGCCCCCUCGUUUCCUUGUUGGACUAGUAGUUGGCCAUUUUCGAAGUAUAAGAAUCUUUUUUGUAGAAGCUUGUGGCAAAAUAGAUUUAACUUUAUUGAUCAUGUUUUGUCUAUCUUGCUUGAGAUAGAUAGGUAAGCCACCUUGUGAUGUCACUGAUUCCUUAUAGCAUGUCAGGCUAGAAGCCCAGUGAAGUGGAAAGCAGCUGCAUAUUCUUCCUUGCAGUCGGCCAUAUCACAGGAGAGGGUUUGUCUUUUGUGUCGACACUCCUGCCUCAAAGUGUGAAAUUAGGGUUUUGGUGUGAAAUUUGGUUAUGAAUACUUGAGAACACAACUGCUUUAGAAGAAUUCAACAAAAUGAAUUUGUCCUCAGAUAUGACUGUCUUCAAGUUUCUCGUAUAAGCAUAUACCACAGUUGCAAAAAUUCUAAAAGGUAAUAAUAAAUUCUGUUAGCUAUGCAUGUGCUGAUUUAUUUUUAGAAAUUGUCUGGCGAAGAACAUAAACAUCUGUGAAAGCACAUCUGCAUAUCUAACAUAACACUGUUACUAAAAUUACUUAUAUAUAUUUAAGGAACUGUGUAUAAAAUGGAAUAGCUCAUUGUGCCUCGAAAGCAUUUGUUAACUGAUGCUUUCGUUUUUCUGGAAUGUGAUCUGUUAAGAAUGCACCAUAGAGUUGAUUGUAAAAUCCAACAUUUGUACAUUACAACCGAAGUUCUUGAUCCAAAUUCUGUGUUGAGCUGAAGAGUUCAGGGACUAUGUACUUCAUUACCAUGGAUCAAUGUGUUUUGGUUAAGCAAAGUUACUUAUGCUUUGUUUCAUGAGGCUAGAGAGAUAUGUCAUACUGCUUACAUUCAACACCAAAAAGUAGCGCAUCAAGUAAUAAAAGAAAGAUACUGGUGUGCAUCAUAUAAUUUGGUUCACCUAGACCUCGAUGUAACAAAGUAUUUAACUUUUCAUAACUUAUUGUCCCUAGAAUACCCUGUAUUUAAACCUCAAUAUAACAAAGUGUCUUUACACACAAUUUCAAUAUAAAGAAAUUUCACUGCUGCCGCUAUGGAAUACAAACACAACAAAUGAAAACUUCCACGAACGCAGAUGGUCAAACGAUUGAAUUCCAAGCGUCUGCUUGUGAGCGCUGCUCUCAAAUUGCGUGCCCUCGACAAAAGCGACAAGAGCGUCAUUACGAUAAGAUCUGAUAAGACGUGCCGAGAUGGCAUGUCAUCAAGUGGGCUGUCUUCCCACGCAUUUAGUACUUCAG